CGGCAGCACGGGAGCAAUCCUGGUGGCGAGUGGCGAACGGGUGAGUAAAGUAUCGGAACGUGCCCAGUCGUGGGGGAUAACGCAGCGAAAGUUGUGCUAAUACCGCAUACGAUCUAUGGAUGAAAGCGGGGGAUCGCAAGACCUCGCGCGAUUGGAGCGGCCGAUAUCAGAUUAGGUAGUUGGUGGGGUAAAGGCUCACCAAGCCGACGAUCUGUAGCUGGUCUGAGAGGACGACCAGCCACACUGGAACUGAGACACGGUCCAGACUCCUACGGGAGGCAGCAGUGGGGAAUUUUGGACAAUGGGCGCAAGCCUGAUCCAGCAAUGCCGCGUGCAGGAUGAAGGCCUUCGGGUUGUAAACUGCUUUUGUACGGAACGAAAAGGCUCUGGUUAAUACCUGGGGCACAUGACGGUACCGUAAGAAUAAGCACCGGCUAACUACGUGCCAGCAGCCGCGGUAAUACGUAGGGUGCGAGCGUUAAUCGGAAUUACUGGGCGUAAAGCGUGCGCAGGCGGUAAUGCAAGACAGAUGUGAAAUCCCCGGGCUUAACCUGGGAACUGCAUUUGUGACUGCAUUGCUGGAGUGCGGCAGAGGGGGGUGGAAUUCCGCGUGUAGCAGUGAAAUGCGUAGAUAUGCGGAGGAACACCGAUGGCGAAGGCAAUCCCCUGGGCCUGCACUGACGCUCAUGCACGA
RNAcentral lists this ribosomal RNA (694 nucleotides) under uncultured Variovorax sp. Its description in RNAcentral is "bacterial SSU rRNA". It matches the Rfam family "Bacterial small subunit ribosomal RNA", at positions 67 to 756 of the family's 1533-position model. Lineage: Bacteria; Pseudomonadati; Pseudomonadota; Betaproteobacteria; Burkholderiales; Comamonadaceae. The record is from RNAcentral.